UAGGGAAUCUUCCACAAUGGGAGCAAGCCUGAUGGAGCAACACCGCGUGAGUGAAGAAGGGUUUCGGCUCGUAAAGCUCUGUUGUUAAAGAAGAACACGUAUGAGAGUAACUGUUCAUACGUUGACGGUAUUUAACCAGAAAGUCACGGCUAACUACGUGCAAG
Molecule: ribosomal RNA, 164 nt
Filed under: uncultured bacterium
Lineage: Bacteria
Description: partial 16S ribosomal RNA
Rfam family: Bacterial small subunit ribosomal RNA
Source: RNAcentral